UAACCUACUGUACAGCAGUGUGACAUCCAUUUACCCACUUUUUUUUUUAAAUUUGCUUUUUAUACAUGGUCAAAACAACGAAAAAAAAUAUCUAUGCAGUUUACAUUUAACAGAGUUUAGGGGUAAAUGAACUGACAUUUUAUUUGUCACAGACAACGCCAUACUUACAGGAUAACCCAAUCAACACGAUUGAAUGAAUGAAUCCAGUAAAAUAUACUAAAUAAAAUACUACAACACACCCCCUAUUUUUUUGUUUUCGUGACGUGUUCAAUGUUUAUUGCAAAUUUUUAUUCAAACAGGGUAUAAUAUAGUACCUACUAGUGAAAAACAUCAAGUGUAAUAACGAUUUUGUUUUUGUAAUAUAACUUAUAAUACCCGAAAAAUACAAAAUUUCAAUUCUUAUAAAGAAUUGUGGAAAUGAGUUUGGUGAUAAAAAGGGUGACUCGCAAAUUUUAAAAGUGGACUCGCAAAUUCUCGCAAAAAACAUACGAUCGUUUGAUAUACAUUUUGAAGUUACAAGACAACAUGUUGGGCCAACUUCAAGGCCGAAAAUUCGGAUUUGUGACUAAAGGGUCAACUCGCAAAUUUUUAAAGUGAACUCACAAAUUCUCGCAAAUGUCGACGUAUCUUUUGGUAUAAAUUUCGAAACUUUUGAGCGACAUGGGUGGGCUAUGUGAAUUUGGCCCGCCCAUUCCUAUUUUGUUUGCAGCUCAAAAACGGCUAACUCGCAAAUUCUGAAAGUUAAUUCGCAAAUCGUCAGAAUUAACUCGCAAACUGUUGGUGAAGAUUUUGAGCCACUGAGCCAAUGGGUGGGCCAACACGUCAAGUUACUGGAAUAUACGAUGCAUAACGUAGACAUUCAAAAAACAAUUGGAAAUCGUCACAUUGUAUAGUUUAUUUUUACAGGUUUCUCUGAUGGUAUCAGAAAAUAUUUGAAAGAUCAAAAAAGUUUUAUGCAUAAACUAUUCUGUAUAUUGUCGUGGAAGAAGAGCUGUGAAGAUAAACCGAUUACUGCCUUCUGUGAAUCUAAAAUUGAUGAAGAAAACAAAUAUUUAAAGAAAAUGAUUGAAUACUACAGUGAUGUAUUUUAUCUUAUAAAUUACUAUUUUACAGACCCAAUAAUAUUUUUUAAUUUUUAAAAGUGAAUAAUAUAUUAGUAGAGUUACUUUAGAAUAAGAUUCACAAAAAAAUGCACUUAUGAUAGGGGAGAGUAAAAACUUUUUUUUAAAUUUUUGAACUUAUAAUUAUUAUAUCAUUUAUGUUUUAAGAAAAUAUGCCUUUAAGUCCUAAAAGACAUAAUAUAACAUAAUAUGUAUGAUAAACUGUACGAAUUUUCCAUCUGCACAACUAUAUUGUAACACAGUUUUCAUCAUUCUAUUUUUAUCGUAUCAUAACUAUUGCUGUUAUUAUAACUAUUUUAAAUGUAUUUUCUUAUUUAUACACAUGGAUAUAUUAUAAGCACGUAUUAGUAGGUACAUAUAAUAAGUGUUAUACAGAAACCUUUGUAGUUUUGGUAGCUUACUUCAAAUUAAUAAUGGUGUUAUAAAUAUAGAUGUAUAAACUAUUUCAUAUUAUUCUUUAUAA
This 1584-nucleotide long non-coding RNA is filed under the name Acyrthosiphon pisum (pea aphid). RNAcentral describes it as "uncharacterized LOC115034041". The record is from RNAcentral. Lineage: Eukaryota; Metazoa; Arthropoda; Insecta; Hemiptera; Aphididae.